UGUUGCCUACGGGAGGCAGCAGUGGGGAAUAUUGGGCAAUGGGCGCAAGCCUGACCCAGCAACGCCGCGUGAAGGAAGAAGGCUUUCGGGUUGUAAACUUCUUUUCUGAGGGACGAAGAAAGUGACGGUACCUCAGGAAUAAGCCACGGCUAACUACGUGCCAGCAGCCGCGGUAAUACGUAGGUGGCAAGCGUUAUCCGGAUUUAUUGGGUGUAAAGGGCGUGUAGGCGGGAAUGCAAGUCAGAUGGGAAAACUA
RNAcentral lists this ribosomal RNA (256 nucleotides) under uncultured bacterium. RNAcentral describes it as "partial 16S ribosomal RNA". It matches the Rfam family "Bacterial small subunit ribosomal RNA", at positions 333 to 603 of the family's 1533-position model. The record is from RNAcentral.